AAGCUCUAGGAACAUGGGGAAUGGCUGGCCAGAGCUGACCAGCAGCUGACCCACUGAGGCAGGGUCUGUCUCCAGUUUGCCAUGGUCCUACGGGACCUGCUUUUCUUAUAUAUGUUACCUACCUGCUCCCUGGAAACAUCUGGGCUCUCCACCCCUGCUUUGGGAUUUUGAACGCUUUACAGUCUACCAUGUGGGUUGCUCUUUUUGUUAAAAAUAUAUUGGCCACAGAGCAGACUAUGCUGGUAUGACGCAAAGACCCAUGAAGCCAGGAGUCCAACCUAUCAGGCAUUUACUCCUCUCUUGGUUAAUAGGCCAGCGUAGACGGGUGGUUCAUGGCGGGUAUGUGGCUCCACUCCAGUCAUCCAGUUACCCAGGUUCCUUCCAUAUUGUUGCUCUGCAUGAUCAGAGUGGCUCCCCAGCUGCAGGAAGAGGGAAAGCCAGAGGGAGGAGAGCAAACAGGCAUCCGUGCGUGGGCAAGACAGGAAGUUGUGUCAUCACCUUGGCUCACAUCCCAUUGGCUAGAAUUCAGUCAUGUGGCCGUACCUAGCUGCAAGGAAAGCUGGGAAAUGUAGUCUCCAGCUUGGCCACCCAGUGCCUAGAGGAAACUCAAAGUUGUGUUACUGAAAGGCAGGGCGAAUAUAUGGCAGGCAGCCUCUGUGUUCUUCAUGAAGUGUAGGCUCCCCCACUCCCAGAGACUGGGGCAUUUCUCGGCUGCUUGACCGGGGCGAGGGGAGGGCUCAAUUUAACCAUGUAUUAUUUGGUUAGUUUUAGAUUGGCUAGUGCAGCCGAAACCUCGAUGGCUUGGUGGCAACGGCUGGCUUCUGGAUGGCCCUGAGGAGGUGUUGCAAGCCGAGGCCUGCAGCACCACAGAGGAUGGGGCGGAACCCCUCCUCUGCCCCUCGGGCUACGAGUGUCACAUCCUGAGCCCUGGGGACGUAGCCGAGGGCAUCCCCAACCGCGGGCAGUGUGUCAAGCAGCGCCAGCAGGCAGAUGGGCGGUUCCUCCAACACAAAUUUUACAAAGAAUACCCAGAGGGUGAUUCCAAGAAUGUGGCGGAGCCUGGGAAAGGGCCCCAGAGGCACUUUCAAUAAGUCUGCGGGCCGCCAAUGGUGAGAACAUGCCUCCAGUUUUCUGCUAAGUCUUGGAAACAGUUGGAUAAAACAGGAUUUGACCCCCGGAGGUCAUGCCCAGCUUGACAGAGCAUGACCCCAAAACUACUUAGAGGCAAGACAGCUGGCUCUCAAUGCCAGCAUGAUGCAACUGGCUGGGUGACUUUGUGGGAGCCCCUUGCCAACCCCGGGUCCCCGUCUUAUCGUCCUGAAGGUACAGCACACCUAGCAGUCCCACUUGACCUGACGGCCCCACAGACCCCACCUUGGGAGGAGGUCACUGGCUUGGUGAGCUGUACGACGCCCCUUUCUCAGAGAGAGUUCAACCUCUUGUUUACUACACAUUUCUUCCAGAUGUGUCUCUGGGAGCCAUGUACCUAUCCCAGACGUUCUCAAAAUAAAUUGCUCCUUACAAAAUGGAAAUGAACUUA
Molecule: non-coding RNA, 1540 nt
Organism: Leptonychotes weddellii (Weddell seal)
Lineage: Eukaryota; Metazoa; Chordata; Mammalia; Carnivora; Phocidae
Source: RefSeq, a predicted model, not a curated record